RNAcentral lists this ribosomal RNA (479 nucleotides) under Veillonella parvula. RNAcentral describes it as "bacterial SSU rRNA". It matches the Rfam family "Bacterial small subunit ribosomal RNA", at positions 28 to 477 of the family's 1533-position model. Lineage: Bacteria; Bacillati; Bacillota; Negativicutes; Veillonellales; Veillonellaceae. The record is from RNAcentral.
GACGAACGCUGGCGGCGUGCUUAACACAUGCAAGUCGAACGAAGAGCGAUGGAAGCUUGCUUCUAUCAAUCUUAGUGGCGAACGGGUGAGUAACGCGUAAUCCACCCUGCCCCUUCAGAGGGGGACAACAGUUGGAAACGACUGCUAAUACCGCAUACGAUCUAAUCUCGGCAUCGAGGAUAGAUGAAAGGUUGGCCUCUACAUGUAAGCUAUCACUGAAGGAGGGGAUUGCGUCUGAUUAGCUAGUUGGAGGGGUAACCGGCCCACCAAGGCGAUGAUCAGUAGCCCGUCUGAGAGGAUGAACGGCCACAUUGGGGACUGAGACACGGCCCCAGACUCCUACGGGAGGGCAGCAGUGGGGAAUCUCCGCAAUGGACGAAAGUCUGACGGAGCAACGCCGCGUGAGUGAUGACCGCCUUCGGGCUGUAAAGCUCUGUUAAUCGGGACGAAAGGCCUUUCUUGCGAAUAGUUAGAAGGAU